CGUAACGCGUAUGACAACCUACCUCUUACAGGUGGGAUACGCCCAGAGUAAAUUUGGUAUUAAUACCGCAUAGUAUACAGAUUCAGCAUUGGGACUGUAUUAAACAUUUAUGGGUAAGAGAUGGGCAUGCGUUCUAUUAGUUAGUUGGAGUGGUAACGGCACCCCAAGACAGCGAUAGAUAGGGGCCCUGAGAGGGGGAUCCCCCACACUGGUACUGAGACACGGACCAGACUCCUACGGGAGGCAGCAGUGAGGAAUAUUGGACAAUGGGCGAGAGCCUGAUCCAGCCAUGCCGCGUGCAGGAAGGCGGCCCUAUGGGUUGUAAACUGCUUUUGUACGGGAAGAAACACCCCCUCGUGAGGGGGCUUGACGGUACCGUAAGAAUAAGGAUCGGCUAACUCCGUG
Molecule: ribosomal RNA, 405 nt
Filed under: uncultured bacterium
Lineage: Bacteria
Description: bacterial SSU rRNA
Rfam family: Bacterial small subunit ribosomal RNA
Source: RNAcentral